Molecule: ribosomal RNA, 450 nt
Filed under: uncultured bacterium
Lineage: Bacteria
Description: partial 16S ribosomal RNA
Rfam family: Bacterial small subunit ribosomal RNA
Source: RNAcentral
CCUACGGGUGGCAGCAGUCGGGAAUAUUGGGCAAUGGGCGCAAGCCUGACCCAGCGACGCCGCGUGAGGGAUGAAGGCCUUCGGGUCGUAAACCUCUGUCGGGAGGGAAGAAUGGCGGUGAGGCGAAUAGUCUCGCUGUCUGACGGUACCUCCAACGGAAGCGCCGGCUAACUCCGUGCCAGCAGCCGCGGUAAUACGGAGGGCGCAACCGUUGGUCGGAAUCACUGGGCGGAAAGCGCGAGUCGGAUGUGAAAUCCCGAGGCUCAACCUCGGAACUGCAUUCGAAACUGCUCGGCUCGAGUCCCGGAGAGGAUGGCGGAAUUCCCGGUGUAGGGGUGAAAUCCGUAGAUAUCGGGAGGAACACCAGUGGCGAAGGCGGCCAUCUGGACGGUGACUGACGCUGAGACGCGAAAGCGUGGGGAGCAAACAGGAUUAGAUACCCUUGUAGUC